This is a non-coding RNA of Sus scrofa (pig), 383 nucleotides long. Lineage: Eukaryota; Metazoa; Chordata; Mammalia; Artiodactyla; Suidae. The record is from RefSeq and is a predicted model, not a curated record.
CAGGUAUGGUCACGUGAGACUGAAGGCCGUGAUGGAAGGACACUUGAGUACAGAAUGGACACGAAGAAGACAGCAGUCACAUUCAGUGUCCUGAUGUCAAGUUACGCGUGCCUGGAGGUUGGGUUGGAGCAGAAUCAUGGCAACACAGACGCCGUCACGGGAUUUGGGGAGGGGGCUACGAAAGACUAUCUGUAGAGCAUCACUUGUAUCAAGGCGAUGGGACUCACUGGGAGGGAGAGACUAAAGUUCAGGUCAGCGUGAGCCGUAACAAAGCUGUUUAUGGAGACGCGAGUAUUCUGAUUCCCCAAACAAUUGUAAUCACACAUCUCUGCACUGGUACAAUACCCAGUGUCUACUGGGGAAAAAAAAAAAAGUCACAGGAG